GGUUAUUUACUAAACUGAGAAUUCAAAGUGAAUUUUAAAAUUUUCAAAAAAGCUAUACUGGAAAGCUUCUCUGCCCAUAAAUUUGAAAUUCACUUUGAAUGCUGAGCUUAGUAAAUAUGCACUGUAUAUGUGUGCAUCCCUGUAAUAUGUCCCCCCAGACAUCUGUGUAUUUAACCCUGUGGUGUAUGAAUGCUUAACUCUGCGUUGUGUUCCGCUGCAUUCUGCAAGGUUAUGGCCUCGCAUUGUGUGUUUAACUUGAACUGCGUUUCCCAGAUCGUUUGUUGCUACAUUGUGUUCCCAACCUAUUGCGUGCAACAUUGCGCUGUGUUCUACAGCUGGCUCUGUGCAUGUGUGGCCAUGCAAUUAGGGAUUUGACAGACAAUU
This is a non-coding RNA of Pelobates cultripes (western spadefoot toad), 384 nucleotides long. NCBI's taxonomy places the organism in Eukaryota, Metazoa, Chordata, Amphibia, Anura, Pelobatidae. The record is from the annotation of a GenBank genome assembly.